RNAcentral lists this long non-coding RNA (418 nucleotides) under Eucalyptus grandis. Its description in RNAcentral is "long non-coding RNA (EGRA_LNC007631)". The record is from RNAcentral. Lineage: Eukaryota; Viridiplantae; Streptophyta; Magnoliopsida; Myrtales; Myrtaceae.
CCUAUUGUCGGUCGGUUCUAGACCUCCAAAGAUUAGUUCUGGGAUCUUCACCAUGUGGAAUUUACCCCAAUGCCCUCACAUUUUCAUGAUUUUGCAAAAUAACUCAUGAAUUUUGGAAAUUUACAAUUUAGUCACUAAUUAGGCCCUUAGCGCAAUUCUCGUUUUAAAUUCAAAUUUUGGAAAAUCGGACCCAUCCAAUCGAUCAUACGAUGCAUCCUAAGGGUGUCUAGCUAAAAUUUUAAUUUUCCCCUUAGAUCAAUUUUUUGACCAUCGAAUUGAACCAACGGUUAAGAUCGAUCAAUUUGGGACUAGUAUAAAAGGAUUUUCCAUCGAUUUUUUGAAGGGGGCUCAUUUUGCAGAUAUUUUCUCUCACUAAACAUAGAUUUCUCUCCUCUCUCUCUCUCUCUCUUUCUCUCUC